UACGUAGGGUGCGAGCGUUAAUCGGAAUUACUGGGCGUAAAGCGUGCGUAGGCGGUUCGCUGUGUCCGAUGUGAAAGCCCCGGGCUUAACCUGGGAAUGGCAUUGGAAACUGGCGGGCUUGAGUGUGGCAGAGGGGGGUGGAAUUCCGCGUGUAGCAGUGAAAUGCGUAGAGAUGCGGAGGAACACCGAUGGCGAAGGCAGCCCCCUGGGUUAACACUGACGCUCAGGCACGAAAGCGUGGGGAGCAAACAGG
Molecule: ribosomal RNA, 253 nt
Filed under: uncultured bacterium
Lineage: Bacteria
Description: partial 16S ribosomal RNA
Rfam family: Bacterial small subunit ribosomal RNA
Source: RNAcentral